This 253-nucleotide ribosomal RNA is filed under the name uncultured bacterium. RNAcentral's name for it is "partial 16S ribosomal RNA". It matches the Rfam family "Bacterial small subunit ribosomal RNA", at positions 524 to 776 of the family's 1533-position model. The record is from RNAcentral.
AACGUAGGUGGCAAGCGUUAUCCGGAAUUACUGGGCGUAAAGGGCUCGUAGGCGGCCAACUAAGUCGGAUGUGAAAUCCCCAGGCUUAACCUGGGAACUGCAUCCGAUACUGGAUGGCUUGAAUCCGGGAGAGGGAUGCAGAAUUCCAGGUGUAGCGGUGAAAUGCGCAGAUAUCAGGAAGAACACCCGUGGCUAAGGCGGCUCUCUAGUACGGUACUGACGCUGAGACGCGAAAGCGUGGGGAGCGAACAGG